UUUGCGCCGGCAGGUCUUACACGACCAGCUCCUGUCGAACCUCCCCAGGGCCGGAAGGCAGCAAGGAUAGAUGGUUGUAGCGGUGCGAUGUGAGUAGCCUGCCAUUUU
Molecule: non-coding RNA, 108 nt
Organism: Sphingobacteriales bacterium 46-32
Lineage: Bacteria; Pseudomonadati; Bacteroidota; Sphingobacteriia; Sphingobacteriales
Source: Rfam